ACGCUCGACACCUACGGAGGCAGCAGUUGGGAAUAUUGGACAAUGGAGGAAACUCUGAUCCAGUGACGCCGCGUGAAGGAAGAAGGUCUUCGGAUUGUAAACUUAUUUUGUCAGGGAAGAAAAAAUGACUGUACCUGAAGAAAAAGCACCGGCUAACUACGUCNCNNNCGCGAUAUGAGCGGCGUGNGAGAG
Molecule: ribosomal RNA, 192 nt
Filed under: uncultured bacterium
Lineage: Bacteria
Description: partial 16S ribosomal RNA
Rfam family: Bacterial small subunit ribosomal RNA
Source: RNAcentral